This 251-nucleotide ribosomal RNA is filed under the name uncultured prokaryote. RNAcentral describes it as "partial 16S rRNA". It matches the Rfam family "Bacterial small subunit ribosomal RNA", at positions 525 to 775 of the family's 1533-position model. The record is from RNAcentral.
ACAGAGGUCCCAAGCGUUGUUCGGAUUUACUGGGCGUAAAGGGUGCGUAGGCGGUGGGUUAAGUCUGACGUGAAAUCUUCAAGCUCAACUUGGAAACUGCGUCGGAUACUAGCUUGCUUGAGGAAUGGAGGGGAGACUGGAAUACUUGGUGUAGCAGUGAAAUGCGUAGAUAUCAAGUGGAACACCAGUGGCGAAGGCGAGUCUCUGGACAUUUCCUGACGCUGAGGCACGAAAGCCAGGGGAGCAAACGG